RNAcentral lists this long non-coding RNA (320 nucleotides) under Coffea arabica (coffee). Its description in RNAcentral is "long non-coding RNA (CARA_LNC002107)". Lineage: Eukaryota; Viridiplantae; Streptophyta; Magnoliopsida; Gentianales; Rubiaceae. The record is from RNAcentral.
UCUCCUUCUCCUUCCUCCUCCCUCUCCUCUCUUCCCCUAAGAACCAGCAGCAACUCCAGCUGCGAUCUUUUGAUUGCACUAGUCGUGACCUUCUGGUCGCAACUAGAUCUGAUUGUGACCAGAAAGGCUGCGCUAUUGUAGGUCGGAUUGGCAAUCUCCGAGUGGGUCUAAGGGGGGAGGAGGGGUAGGGAAGAAGGAGAAAAAGAGGGAGGAAGAGGGGGAGAAUGGAAAGGGGAGGGGAUGAAGGGGAAAGAGAGGGAAAAAGGAUGAGAGAGAGGAGGGAAGAGGAGGGAGGCGGUGGUGGAGAUUGGUGGUGGUGG